Camelina sativa (false flax) is the source of this 715-nucleotide long non-coding RNA. RefSeq lists it as uncharacterized. The record is from RefSeq and is a predicted model, not a curated record. NCBI's taxonomy places the organism in Eukaryota, Viridiplantae, Streptophyta, Magnoliopsida, Brassicales, Brassicaceae.
ACAUUGAAAACAAAAUUGUGAUAAUCAUCAUGGCUAAGUUUGCUUCCAUCAUCACCCUUAUCUUUGCUGCUCUUGUUCUCUUUGCUGCUUUCGGUACUUGCGUGUUAAUGUUUCCUACCGGAAGAUAUCGAUGGUGUCUACGUGGUUAAUUUGUAAGGUUACCACACUAUUGCACGAUGACCAGAAAACGACCGACACACCACCAUUUCGUUCUAUUUAAAGUUUGAACUUAUGCUUCUUUCCUUACUUCACAAUCAUACAUCGGAAACAAAGAAAUCAUAGUCAUGGCUAAGUUUGCUUCCAUCUUCUCUCUUCUCUUUGCUAUUCUUGUUUUCUUUGCGGCACUCGGUGAGUAAUUAUCUUAUCAUAUGCAUGGCAAAAUGAGAAGCACCAACAAUGGUGGAAGCACAAAAGCUGUGUGAGAGGCCAAGUAUUGGGACUGCGCGAGGAAUUUGUAGUGUCAGUAAUUUUCCGUGCAGGGAUCAUUGCAUCCGAGUUGAGAAAGCAGCACAAGGAUCUUGCAAAUUUCAAUUCCCAAUUAACAAGUGUCUCUGUGUCUUUCCAUGUUAAUAGACUACAAUAUUUUAAUGCUUAAUAUUAUGCGUUUAAUUCAUAUAAAAUUAGUCUGUAUCACUCCAUGAGUGAGCUUAUGACAUAUACCAGUUAUGAUUAUGUUGGUUUCUUAUAAUAUUAUAAACUUUUAUUCUCUUGCCCA